RNAcentral lists this microRNA (24 nucleotides) under Prunus persica (peach). Its description in RNAcentral is "microRNA miRNA_453". The record is from RNAcentral. Lineage: Eukaryota; Viridiplantae; Streptophyta; Magnoliopsida; Rosales; Rosaceae.
UUGUCGGCACCCAUGAAAGGGCCA